UACGUAGGUGGCAAGCGUUGUUCGGAUUUAUUGGGUUUAAAGGGUGCGUAGGCGGCAUUUUAAGUCAGUGGUGAAAUACUUCAGUUUAACUGGAGAGGUGCCAUUGAUACUGGGAUGCUUGAGUACUGAUGAGGUAGGCGGAAUGGACGGUGUAGCGGUGAAAUGCUUAGAUAUCGUCCAGAACACCGAUAGCGAAGGCAGCUUACUAAGGAGUAACUGACGCUGAGGCGCGAAAGCGUGGGGAGCAAACAGG
Molecule: ribosomal RNA, 253 nt
Filed under: uncultured bacterium
Lineage: Bacteria
Description: partial 16S ribosomal RNA
Rfam family: Bacterial small subunit ribosomal RNA
Source: RNAcentral